UAAGGAAUAUUGCUCAAUGGGAGAAAUCCUGAAGCAGCAACGCCGCGUGGAGGAUGAAGGGUCUAUGACUUGUAAACUCCUGUAAAGAAGGAAAAAAUUCCCAUUAGAUGGGAGAUGAUGGUACUUCUGGAGUAAGCCCCGGCUAACUACGUGCCAGCAGCCGCGGUAAUACGUAGGGGGCAAGCGUUGUCCGGAUUUACUGGGUGUAAAGGGUGCUCAGGCGGAUUUGUAAGUCAGAGGUGAAAUCUUACAGCUUAACUGUGAAACUGCCCUUGAUACUGCAAGCCUAGAGUAUGGAAGAGAGUGAUUGAAUAUCUGGUGUAGCAGUGAAAUGCGUAGAUAUCAGAUAGAACACCAAUGGCGAAGGCAGUCACUUGGUCCAUUACUGACGCUAAAGCACGAAAGCGUGGGUAGCAAACA
RNAcentral lists this ribosomal RNA (420 nucleotides) under uncultured bacterium. RNAcentral describes it as "bacterial SSU rRNA". It matches the Rfam family "Bacterial small subunit ribosomal RNA", at positions 355 to 774 of the family's 1533-position model. The record is from RNAcentral.